UCUAAGCAUCAGGUAACAUCAAAUCGUACCCCAAACCGACACAGGUGGUCAGGUAGAGAAUACCAAGGCGCUUGAGAGAACUCGGGUGAAGGAACUAGGCAAAAUGGUGCCGUAACUUCGGGAGAAGGCACGCUGGUGUGUAGGUGAAGUCCCUGCGGAUGGAGCUGAGACCAGUCGAAGAUACCAGCUGGCUGCAACUGUUUAUUAAAAACACAGCACUGUGCAAACACGAAAGUGGACGUAUACGGUGUGACGCCUGCCCGGUGCCGGAAGGUUAAUUGAUGGGGUUAUCCGUAAGGAGAAGCUCUUGAUCGAAGCCCCGGUAAACGGCGGCCGUAACUAUAACGGUCCUAAGGUAGCGAAAUUCCUUGUCGGGUAAGUUCCGACCUGCACGAAUGGCGUAAUGAUGGCCAGGCUGUCUCCACCCGAGACUCAGUGAAAUUGAACUCGCUGUGAAGAUGCAGUGUACCCGCGGCAAGACGGAAAGACCCCGUGAACCUUUACUAUAGCUUGACACUGAACAUUGAGCCUUGAUGUGUAGGAUAGGUGGGAGGCUUUGAAGCGUGGACGCCAGUCUGCGUGGAGCCAACCUUGAAAUACCACCCUUUAAUGUUUGAUGUUCUAACGUUGGCCCCUGACCGGGGUUGCGGACAGUGUCUGGUGGGUAGUUUGACUGGGGCGGUCUCCUCCCAAAGCGUAACGGAGGAGCACGAAGGUUAGCUAAUCCUGGUCGGACAUCAGGAGGUUAGUGCAAUGGCAUAAGCUAGCUUGACUGCGAGCGUGACGGCGCGAGCAGGUGCGAAAGCAGGUCAUAGUGAUCCGGUGGUUCUGAAUGGAAGGGCCAUCGCUCAACGGAUAAAAGGUACUCCGGGGAUAACAGGCUGAUACCGCCCAAGAGUUCAUAUCGACGGCGGUGUUUGGCACCUCGAUGUCGGCUCAUCACAUCCUGGGGCUGAAGUAGGUCCCAAGGGUAUGGCUGUUCGCCAUUUAAAGUGGUACGCGAGCUGGGUUUAGAACGUCGUGAGACAGUUCGGUCCCUAUCUGCCGUGGGCGCUGGAGAAUUGAGGGGGGCUGCUCCUAGUACGAGAGGACCGGAGUGGACGCAUCACUGGUGUUCGGGUUGUCAUGCCAAUGGCACUGCCCGGUAGCUAAAUGCGGAAGAGAUAAGUGCUGAAAGCAUCUAAGCACGAAACUUGCCCCGAGAUGAGUUCUCCCUGAGACUAUAAGUCUCCUGAAGGAACGUUGAAGACGACGACGUUGAUAGGCCGGGUGUGUAAGCGCAGCGAUGCGUUGAGCUAACCGGUACUAAUGAACCGUGAGGCUUAACCUU
This 1330-nucleotide ribosomal RNA is filed under the name Klebsiella pneumoniae. RNAcentral describes it as "partial 23S ribosomal RNA". It matches the Rfam family "Bacterial large subunit ribosomal RNA", at positions 1620 to 2925 of the family's 2925-position model. Lineage: Bacteria; Pseudomonadati; Pseudomonadota; Gammaproteobacteria; Enterobacterales; Enterobacteriaceae. The record is from RNAcentral.